AGGGAAUCUUCGGCAAUGGGGGCAACCCUGACCGAGCAACGCCGCGUGAGUGAAGAAGGUUUUCGGAUCGUAAAGCUCUGUUGUAAGUCAAGAACGGGUGUGAGAGUGGAAAGUUCACACUGUGACGGUAGCUUACCAGAAAGGGACGGCUAACUACGUGCCAGCAGCCGCGGUAAUACGUAGGUCCCGAGCGUUGUCCGGAUUUAUUGGGCGUAAAGCGAGCGCAGGCGGUUUGAUAAGUCUGAAGUUAAAGGCUGUGGCUCAACCAUAGUUCGCUUUGGAAACUGUCAAACUUGAGUGCAGAAGGGGAGAGUGGAAUUCCAUGUGUAGCGGUGAAAUGCGUAGAUAUAUGGAGGAACACCGGUGGCGAAAGCGGCUCUCUGGUCUGUAACUGACGCUGAGGCUCGAAAGCGUGGGGAGCGAACAGGAUUAGAUACCCUGGUAGUCCACGCCGUAAACGAUGAGUGCUAGGUGUUGGAUCCUUUCCGGGAUUCAGUGCCGCAGCUAACGCAUUAAGCACUCCGCCUGGGGGGUACGACCGCAAGGUUG
RNAcentral lists this ribosomal RNA (549 nucleotides) under uncultured bacterium. RNAcentral describes it as "partial 16S ribosomal RNA". It matches the Rfam family "Bacterial small subunit ribosomal RNA", at positions 356 to 896 of the family's 1533-position model. The record is from RNAcentral.